RNAcentral lists this ribosomal RNA (1539 nucleotides) under Vespa ducalis. RNAcentral's name for it is "16S ribosomal RNA". The record is from RNAcentral. Lineage: Eukaryota; Metazoa; Arthropoda; Insecta; Hymenoptera; Vespidae.
UAAAAUUGUUAAAUAUUUGAUAAUAUAAAAUAUUUUAUUAAAGUUAAUUAUAUAAAUAAAUUAAAAUAAUUUGUUUUUUAAAGUAUAUUUAAAUAAAGUAAUAUAAAUAUUUAUUGGUUUAAGUAUAAAGUAAGAAAAAAUAUAAUAAAUAAUAGAGAUAGUAAUGAAAGUGAUUUUUUGUUAAAAUUAAAAAAGUAAAUUUUAUAUAUUGUACCUUUUGUAUAAGGGUUAAUUAAAUAAAAUAUUUAUAUUAAAAUAUUUCUCGAAUUUAAUAGAUUUAUUUAAGAAUAUUAGUUAAUGUAGAAAUAUUAUUAAUAAUCUUUAAAUAGAAGUGAAAUGUUAAUCGAUUUUAAAUAUAUCUAGUUUUUUUAGAAUUGAAUAUAAUUCAGAUUUAUAAAUUAUAUAAAUAAAAAUUAUUUUUAUGGGUAUAAAUUUAUAAAUUAAAUAUUUUUGGGAUAAACUAGAAAUAUAGAAAUAAUUUUAUUUAUAAUUAAGUAAUAAAAAUAUUCAUAAGAUUUGUAUUUUUUAAAGAAAAUGUUAUAAUUUAUAAAUAAUAAAUAAUAAAGAUUUAAAAUAAAGUUUUUGUAUAUAUAAAAAAAAAUUAUUUAAUAAUAAAAUAAUUGAUAUAAUGAUUGAAUUAGUAAAGUAAGGUAAAUAAUAUAUAAUUAAUUAAUAAUUUUUAAAUUAUAUUAAGGAAUUCGACAAAUAUAUUAUUUAGAUAAAGUAUAUUCACCUGUUUAUCAAAAACAUGGCUUAUUGGAUAAAAAUAGUAGGUCUAUUCUGCCCAUUGAUUAAAGUUAAAAGGCUGCAGUAUAUUGACUGUACAAAGGUAGCAAAAUCAUUUGUUUUUUAAUUGGAAACUGGAAUGAAAGAGUGAAUGAAAUAUAAAUUGUCUCAAUAUAAAUAAUUGAAUUUAAAUUAAAAGUUAAAAUGCUUUUAUAAAUUUAUUAGACGAUAAGACCCUAUAGAAUUUAAUAAAAUUUAUUUUUUAAAAUUAAUAUUUUUAAUAAAAUUUAGUUAAUAAGUAUAUUUUAUUGGGAGGAUAAUUAAAUUAAUUAAACUUUAAUAUAGAUGGAACAUAGAUGAAUGAGUAUUUUGAUUAUUAUUAUAAUUAUUAGAAUAAAUUACCUUAGGGAUAACAGCGUUAUAAUUUUGGAGAGUUCAUAUUGAUAAAAUUGUUUGCGACCUCGAUGUUGAAUUAUGAUAAAAAUUAAAUGGAGAAAUUUAAAUUUUUAGUCUGUUCGACUAUUAAAAUCAUACAUGAUUUGAGUUCAGAUCGGUGAAAGCCAGAUCGGUUUCUAUCUAUAAAUAAAGUAUAUUUUAUUGUACGAAAGGACUUAAAAUAUUAAAUAUUUUUAUAAAAAUUUAAAUUAAAUAAAUUUAAUAAAUGAAUAAAAUUAAAUUAAUAUUUAUAAAAUUAAGGUAUGUAUAAAAAUCUAUAAAAUUAUUAGAUAUAAAUAAAGUUUAUAAAGUUUAAUGUUUAAUAUUUUUGAAUAGAAUAAAUUAUAUAAAUAAAAUAUUAUAAAAUAAGAUAAGGGG